Molecule: ribosomal RNA, 467 nt
Filed under: uncultured bacterium
Lineage: Bacteria
Description: partial 16S ribosomal RNA
Rfam family: Bacterial small subunit ribosomal RNA
Source: RNAcentral
GACGAACGCUGGCGGCGUGCUUAACACAUGCAAGUCGAACGGAAAGGCCCUGCUUUUGUGGGGUGCUCGAGUGGCGAACGGGUGAGUAACACGUGAGUAACCUGCCCUUGACUUUGGGAUAACUUCAGGAAACUGGGGCUAAUACCGGAUAGGAGCUCCUGCUGCAUGGUGGGGGUUGGAAAGUUUCGGCGGUUGGGGAUGGACUCGCGGCUUAUCAGCUUGUUGGUGGGGUAGUGGCUUACCAAGGCUUUGACGGGUAGCCGGCCUGAGAGGGUGACCGGCCACAUUGGGACUGAGAUACGGCCCAGACUCCUACGGGAGGCAACAGUGGGGAAUAUUGCACAAUGGGCGGAAGCCUGAUGCAGCAACGCCGCGUGCGGGAUGACGGCCUUCGGGUUGUAAACCGCUUUCGCUGUGACGAAGCGUGAGUGACGGCAAUGGGUAAAGAAGCACCGGCUAACUACGUG